RNAcentral lists this long non-coding RNA (284 nucleotides) under Paramuricea clavata. Lineage: Eukaryota; Metazoa; Cnidaria; Anthozoa; Malacalcyonacea; Plexauridae. The record is from RNAcentral.
GCAAAAGUGAAAGUCUACAACACGAAGUAUUCCCAGGCGGUCACCCAUCCAAGUACUAACUUCGCCCGACCAGGCUUAACUUCGGUGAUCAGACGAGAACCGGUUUUUUUUUGUUUUUUUUUUUUCUUAAUAACUUUAUUUACAUUUGUACAAUUUGUUUGAUUUCAUAAUCUAGUUUAUGUUUAGUUUUUCCGUGUUUUCAUUUGUUUCAAUUAACUGAAUGUUUUUUGUGUUGAUUUUCCUCAUAGUUUCAUUAACAGUUCUUCAUUUACAACUCUUGCUAG